Myotis lucifugus (little brown bat) is the source of this 70-nucleotide non-coding RNA. NCBI's taxonomy places the organism in Eukaryota, Metazoa, Chordata, Mammalia, Chiroptera, Vespertilionidae. The record is from Rfam.
GCCGGUUUGGCUCAGUGGGUAGAGCGUCGGACUGCGGACCAGAAGGUCUCAGGUUCGAUUCCAGUCGGGG